This is a long non-coding RNA of Oncorhynchus keta (chum salmon), 1019 nucleotides long. RefSeq lists it as uncharacterized. Lineage: Eukaryota; Metazoa; Chordata; Actinopteri; Salmoniformes; Salmonidae. The record is from RefSeq and is a predicted model, not a curated record. The transcript has 4 exons.
GUCACCUUAACACUGAAAUCCUUAGUGGUGAAACUGCCAAGUCCGUUUGCGAUAUUAUAACAGCAAACAACCAACACGUUUUUUUCCCCCUCUGGCAUCAUUGCACGCGUGAUAGAGGAGCAGAAUAUGUACUGCAAUUUUUUUUACAGGAUUGCAAGAAGGUCCACACCUCCGCUUUUUCCCCCUUCUGCGGAUUCCAUCUUUAAGGUCUUCUGCUGCCAUGCAGUAUCCGGGAGAGGAAAGGGGGGUAGAUGGAACAAGCUUGUCUCCGGUAGUGUUCUGGCACACUGCCUUGACCAAUGGAACCAGCUGUGGCUGGGCACCUGGCACCAUUUUCCAGUCCCGAUUCCAGUCCCCGUCCUGGGUCCAUUCUCCCAAGAUGUCGAAACACUCACAAGGUCAGAGGUCAGCGUCCACUGCUUCGGUCGGAAGAUAGGUGAGUGAAGAUGAAAUUGUGCAUCGAGUGACUUCUGAUUGCCCAGCAAUCUGCCCACUCAUCCCAUCCCUUCCUCCAUCUGAUCACAUCAUAUAAAGCAACUGUUAAUGUCAUGUUGUCAUUAUCUGCUAAUAAAGUUUGCUAGCCAUAUCAUACUAGGGAUAUAUAGUAUGUGAGAUACACAGAUGAACUAAAAACACUAGCAGGGCAAACACUCGGAACAAACAGAGCAGCAGUGCCUGGACUUUGCAGUCUCCCUAUUCAAGUCCCCCUUCCGUGACUGCCUGUUGAGAACAAGUGACGGGCAGAACCUCCCAACCACACAGCACCCAUCUCUUUAUUCCACACACCAGAAUUAAGUAUUUCAGUCUGAUUGCCAUGCGAGUUUACAAAACAUAAUCUGUGAAAAUAAAUUCACGACACAACUGUACCAAAAACAAUCAGUUUAUGUAUUAAAAUCUGGAAUAUUGCCAAGUUGGUUUUCACAGCUGUUUCAUAAGGUGUUCAUUAUUGAAAAUAAAUCCUUUGAAGGUAUUUAUUUGUUCCACAUUAUUCAUUGUUGUAUCCUAGGACCUACAAUAGA